UCUCUCUCUCUCUCUCUCUCUCUCUCUCUCCCUCUCUCUCUUCCUUUCUCUGUCUCUACUCCCUCAAUUCCCCUUCCCAUAACCUGAAUAUAUGUGGCUGGUCCCUCAGGAGUAAAGGGUGCCUCAGCAUGGGCCCACAAAGGCAGCCCCUUCCCCCACACCUGACUAUACAUCCACCAUACAUAUUCUUUCUUUUUUUUUUUUUUAGUUUUAUAAAACACAACACACUGCAUUCUUCACAUAUAAUCCUUGUGUUGUCUUGAAUCUUAAAGAACAGACUUCCUUACCUGCUCUGUUCAGCUUUCCAGUUGCCACUGUCCCUUUGAAGGGACAAAGCAUACUUUCUCUAGGCUAUCAAUGAGGUAUGGUCAACAACUUUUUUUUUAAUUAGGUAUUUUCCUCGUUUACAUUUUCAAUGCUAUCCCAAAGGUCCCCCAUACCCACCCACCCCCAAUCCCCUACCCACCCACUCCCCCUUUUUGGCCCUGGCAUUCCCCUGUACUGGGACAUAUAAAGUUUGCAAGUCCAAUGGGCCUCUCUUUGCAGUGAUGGCCGACUAGGCCAUCUUUUGAUACAUCAAGAGCUCCGGGGUACUGGUUAGUUCAUAUUGUUGUUCCACCUAUAGGGUUGCAGAUCCCUUCAGCUCCUUGGGUAAUUUCUCUAGCUCCUCCAUUGGGGGCCGUGUGACCCAUCCAAUAGCUGACUGUGAUCAUCCACUUCUGUGUUUGCUAGGCUCCGGCAUAGUCUCACAAGAGAGAGCUAUAUCUGGGUCCUUUGGCCAACAACUUUAAAUGGUGUCUCUUUGCAUAUAUACACAUGAAAAAUCAGGGUCUUUCUAUGGCGGCCCACUGACCAGAAAAAUCACAAUGUAGCCAAAGAUUACAUUGAAUUUGCUAUAAUCCUGCAUUUGUCUCCUGAGUAUUAGGAUUACAAGCUCUAGCUACCAUGACUACCUCUUAAUGGUGUUUAACUUUCUCCAGACUCAUCCUCUUCCAAAGACAUUCUCCUCACCAACUAAGUAUAUAGAAAGAGUGCCUGCCAGAGUGGUUGCCAGCUACAGAAAUGGACAAUGCCUUCCUCUGCAGAGUGUUCAGGAGGACUUCCAAACAAUACUUGAGCUGGUGGGUCUGUUUCAAACAAGGGUGCAAGCUCUUAGGGAACUUUACAGAGGAGGCCUCACUGACUGAGAAGGUGGUAGACAGGAACCCAAGAGAGAGGUUACCACUCAUAAAUGAGGUCACCUGGAUUCACAGGAAUGUGGUUGGUGAACAUACAAACGGAGAUGAGAAAAAAAAUUAAUUCGCAGAAAACAUAGGUCAAAAAGGAGGGAGUAGGGCCCAUUAUUCUGCUUUGGGGAAGCUACUUCUGAAGGCUGUGGCCCUGCUUAGAAACACAGCCAGAACUGGAAACUUCAGACCUUAAACAAGUAAAGAAUUAGAAAGCAGCUUAAAGCAGCUUCUAGGCCACAGGUAAGGAAAGAGAACUUUGAACUUUGGACUACUGAGUAAACACCAGGUUGAACAAGCACAAUAGGGACAUCAGGUUAGCUAUUAAUUUAUUAGCAAACCACCGAAUAAGAAACAGAGGGCAUAGUCGAAUUCUUUGUUUGGUUUUUUAAUUUUUUUUUUUUUGGUUUUGGUUUUUAUGCCAUGCUGGGCGUGGUAAAUGCAAGGAAAGGUCUCUUUCACCAAGCUUCAUUCCAGGUCUUCGCGGGCUUUUGUGUCUUUACAAGGUACGUUACAAGUUAAAUGACAAAUGUGAAGCUGUUCCAAGUGACAAAAGUCACAGUACUAAUCACAACUUUGCUCAAAUGAUAUUUGUUCCCGGACACUCUUGAAAUCUAUAGCUAUUUCGAUCCACCUCAUCUUUAAGUGGUAACUAAAUAUAAUAUAUAGAAAAUUGUGUGCUUGAAAAGCUGACCUUUAGCUCCUUCUUUGACUAAAUUUUCCAGAGGUAUAACAUUAAUGUAGUAAAAUGUUUAUGUGACACAUAAAUGUUCUCACAUGAAUUAUAAAAGUUGGCAUAAGUCUUUAGCACUUAUAAAAUGGCUUGAUAUAAUGAUAACCCAUGUCAGGCAUGUGGCUUCUGCCUUCAGUCCCAACAGUUGGGAGGCUGAAGCAGAUCUCUAUGAGUUUAAGGUUAGCCUGGUCUACACAGCAAGUUCCAGACAAGUGAGGGCUACACAGAAAGAAAAUGUUUG
This 2200-nucleotide long non-coding RNA is filed under the name Mus musculus (house mouse). RNAcentral's name for it is "long non-coding RNA chrX:103545499-103547699". The record is from RNAcentral. Lineage: Eukaryota; Metazoa; Chordata; Mammalia; Rodentia; Muridae.